AAUUCUCAAAACCCUUUCUUUGGUCUCUUGAUCGGGGGAAGGAUUUUGGACUUGGAGGCCUUUUGCUGGUUUCAACUUGAAGCGAGCUCCUCCCAAAUGAAUUAGUGGGGUCUGCUUUGCCGAUCCUUGGCGUGAUAAGUCGUUUCUACGUCUUGGAUUUUGGCACUGUACCCCUGCUUCUACCCGUCUCAUCGACAAUGAUGGUGUUCCUGUCACCGCCGAUUCGUCGGUGGGAGGCUUGACCCACAAAAUGAAC
Molecule: unclassified non-coding RNA, 256 nt
Filed under: uncultured Russula
Lineage: Eukaryota; Fungi; Basidiomycota; Agaricomycetes; Russulales; Russulaceae
Description: sequence contains ITS2
Source: RNAcentral